RNAcentral lists this ribosomal RNA (402 nucleotides) under Brucella pseudogrignonensis. Its description in RNAcentral is "partial 16S ribosomal RNA". It matches the Rfam family "Bacterial small subunit ribosomal RNA", at positions 355 to 774 of the family's 1533-position model. The record is from RNAcentral. RNAcentral also lists the same sequence under 1 other name. Lineage: Bacteria; Pseudomonadati; Pseudomonadota; Alphaproteobacteria; Hyphomicrobiales; Brucellaceae.
UGGGGAAUAUUGGACAAUGGGCGCAAGCCUGAUCCAGCCAUGCCGCGUGAGUGAUGAAGGCCCUAGGGUUGUAAAGCUCUUUCACCGGUGAAGAUAAUGACGGUAACCGGAGAAGAAGCCCCGGCUAACUUCGUGCCAGCAGCCGCGGUAAUACGAAGGGGGCUAGCGUUGUUCGGAUUUACUGGGCGUAAAGCGCACGUAGGCGGACUUUUAAGUCAGGGGUGAAAUCCCAGAGCUCAACUCUGGAACUGCCUUUGAUACUGGAAGUCUUGAGUAUGGUAGAGGUGAGUGGAAUUCCGAGUGUAGAGGUGAAAUUCGUAGAUAUUCGGAGGAACACCAGUGGCGAAGGCGGCUCACUGGACCAUUACUGACGCUGAGGUGCGAAAGCGUGGGGAGCAAACA